AGAGUUUGAUCAUGGCUCAGAUUGAACGCUGGCGGCAGGCCUAACACAUGCAAGUCGAACGGUAACAGGAUAGCUUGCUAUCGCUGACGAGUGGCGGACGGGUGAGUAAUACUUAGGGAUCUGCCUCUGUGUGGGGGAUAACUAUUGGAAACGAUAGCUAAUACCGCAUAAUGUCUACUGACCAAAACGGGCUUCGGCUCGUGCGCAAGAAGGAACCUAAACGAGAUUAGCUAUUUGGUGAGGUAAAGGCUCACAAGGCAACAAUCUCU
Molecule: ribosomal RNA, 269 nt
Filed under: uncultured gamma proteobacterium SUR-ATT-1
Lineage: Bacteria; Pseudomonadati; Pseudomonadota; Gammaproteobacteria
Description: partial 16S ribosomal RNA
Rfam family: Bacterial small subunit ribosomal RNA
Source: RNAcentral